RNAcentral lists this unclassified non-coding RNA (263 nucleotides) under plant metagenome. RNAcentral describes it as "partial contains small subunit ribosomal RNA, internal transcribed spacer 1, and 5.8S ribosomal RNA". The record is from RNAcentral.
UUUCCGUAGGUGAACCUGCGGAAGGAUCAUUAUUGUAUAACCAAGGAGCGAGGGCUGUCGCUGACUCGAAAGGUUGUGCACUCUCUAGUGACCUCACACUUAUCCAUCUCACCCCUAUAUGAACCACAGCGUAGGUCCCCCUUUGGGUUUAUUGGAGUGGGGCUUACGUUUUCACACAAACUUUGUAUGCAGUUUAGUAUGUAUUUUUUGUUUUUGCGAUAACGCACUCAAUACAACUUUCAACAACGGAUCUCUUGGCUCUC